CCUAACACAUGCAAGUCGAGGCGGUAGAGAGAAGCUUGCUUCUCUUGAGAGCGGCGGACGGGUGAGUAAUGCCUAGGAAUCUGCCUGGUAGUGGGGGAUAACGUUCGGAAACGGACGCUAAUACCGCAUACGUCCUACGGGAGAAAGCAGGGGACCUUCGGGCCUUGCGCUAUCAGAUGAGCCUAGGUCGGAUUAGCUAGUUGGUGAGGUAAUGGCUCACCAAGGCGACGAUCCGUAACUGGUCUGAGAGGAUGAUCAGUCACACUGGAACUGAGACACGGUCCAGACUCCUACGGGAGGCAGCAGUGGGGAAUAUUGGACAAUGGGCGAAAGCCUGAUCCAGCCAUGCCGCGUGUGUGAAGAAGGUCUUCGGAUUGUAAAGCACUUUAAGUUGGGAGGAAGGGUUGUAGAUUAAUACUCUGCAAUUUUGACGUUACCGACAGAAUAAGCACCGGCUAACUCUGUGCCAGCAGCCGCGGUAAUACAGAGGGUGCAAGCGUUAAUCGGAAUUACUGGGCGUAAAGCGCGCGUAGGUGGUUUGUUAAGUUGGAUGUGAAAUCCCCGGGCUCAACCUGGGAACUGCAUUCAAAACUGACUGACUAGAGUAUGGUAGAGGGUGGUGGAAUUUCCUGUGUAGCGGUGAAAUGCGUAGAUAUAGGAAGGAACACCAGUGGGCGAAGGCGACCACCUGGACUAAUACUGACACUGAGGUGCGAAAGCGUGGGGGAGCAAACAGGAUUAGAUACCCUGGUAGUCCACGCCGUAAACGAUGUCAACUAGCCGUUGGAAGCCUUGAGCUUUUAGUGGCGCAGCUAACGCAUUAAGUUGAC
RNAcentral lists this ribosomal RNA (830 nucleotides) under Pseudomonas azotoformans. Its description in RNAcentral is "bacterial SSU rRNA". It matches the Rfam family "Bacterial small subunit ribosomal RNA", at positions 47 to 869 of the family's 1533-position model. The record is from RNAcentral. Lineage: Bacteria; Pseudomonadati; Pseudomonadota; Gammaproteobacteria; Pseudomonadales; Pseudomonadaceae.